Molecule: small nuclear RNA, 107 nt
Organism: Ailuropoda melanoleuca (giant panda)
Lineage: Eukaryota; Metazoa; Chordata; Mammalia; Carnivora; Ursidae
Source: Ensembl
GUGCUCACUUCAGCAGCCCAUAUGCUAAAAUAGGAACGAGCCAGAGAAGAUUAGCAUGGCCCUUGCGCAAGGAUGACAUGCAAAUUUGUGAAGUGUUCCAUAUUUUU